GUUAGGGUGGCAGAGCCCGGUAAAUGCAUAAAACUUAAACCUUUACUACCAGAGGUUCAAUUCCUCUCCCUAACA
This 75-nucleotide transfer RNA is filed under the name Fossa fossana (Malagasy civet). RNAcentral's name for it is "tRNA-Leu". It matches the Rfam family "tRNA". Rfam says of the family: Transfer RNA (tRNA) molecules are approximately 80 nucleotides in length. Their secondary structure includes four short double-helical elements and three loops (D, anti-codon, and T loops). Lineage: Eukaryota; Metazoa; Chordata; Mammalia; Carnivora; Eupleridae. The record is from RNAcentral.